This 253-nucleotide ribosomal RNA is filed under the name uncultured bacterium. Its description in RNAcentral is "partial 16S ribosomal RNA". It matches the Rfam family "Bacterial small subunit ribosomal RNA", at positions 524 to 776 of the family's 1533-position model. The record is from RNAcentral.
UACGUAGGCAGCGAGCGUUGUUCGGAAUUACUGGGCGUAAAGCGUGCGCAGGCGGUUCUCCAAGUCCGUUGUGAAAGCCCCGGGCUCAACCUGGGAAUGGCAGUGGAAACUAGGGGACUGGAAUCUGGCAGAGGGGGGUGGAAUGCCGCGUGUAGCAGUGAAAUGCGUAGAGAUGCGGCGGAACACCGAUGGCGAAGGCAGCCCCCUGGGCUGAGAUUGACGCUCAGGCACGAAAGCGUGGGGAGCAAACAGG